UCAAGAUGUGGGCCAAAGAUGAAACCUUUUCAAACUGCCACGUUCUAAAGAAACACUGGACUGGACCUCUGCUGCCAACACAAGAUGCUCUGGAGGAGAUUCCCCGCCUUCCCCUGCGCCCCUUAAGGAUCGACUCGAACAACAAGUACCUGAGCCAGUCGAUGCGUCUGAACAACAACAACAUCACAAACCUCGUUGGCCUUGAAUUCAUGUUGAGUCAUUUUCUGGCUCAGCCAUCAUUGCUUGGCUGGCUGGAUCUCUCCUGCAACAAAAUAACAAGUAUUGAAUGUGUUUUAUGUGAGCUAAAGGAGCUGCGUGUUUUGUAUCUGCAUGGCAAUGACAUCUGGAGCCUGAGUGAAGUAAACAAAUUAGGAGAGCUGAAUUAUCUGCACACCAUCACACUUCAUGGAAAUUUGAUUGAAAACAUCAAAGGCUACAGGAGUCACGUUAUUUCGAUAUUGCCUCACCUGAAGAGGAUGGACUUCAGUGCUGUGACUCGCCAGGAGAAAGUCUUGGCGUCUAUUUGGUCUACGAACAUCAAACCGCCCAGAACACGACCCAAAGAUGCAUCAGAACAUGAUUAAACUAUUCAUGUUCCUACUGACUGGGCUUGUUAAGCAGAAGAUUCUUCUCAGAUGAGCCUUGGAAGUGACAGCCUUCCUCUUAUGAGUUUCACCCUGAAAAAUCCUUAAUUGUGUGGAUUUAAAUGUCCCUGAAUCAACAUAUGGUUGGUGUUCCUGAUGGAUUCAGAACUUCCACACAAGAUGUUAUUCCAAAGAUGAAAACUUCAAACCUUUUCAAAAUCCGUUCUUUCCUCCCAGUUGUGCUGCCGUGGAGCCAUCGCUGUAAGGAAGACUUUUGAUCCUUUUGAUUUUUGGCUACACAAGUUUGUUGUUAAUAUAUAUAUUUUUUUCACCUGCAUCAGAAAGAUAUCAUGUCACAAUGAGUUUGUAAAAAAAAAGUGAAGACAUUUUCAGAGCAGUGAAUUGCUAAUAGUCAGACAAUGAGCUGGUUUAAUGUAAAACAACUCAAAGAAAACCAUGUUAAAACUUGUUUUAUGAUACUCUCUAUCAACAGAAAAUCAUGAAACACUUUUGUAAAGUUUGAUGCUAUUUUCUUGGCCAAACAAUGUCCAUGUUGCACCACAUAAACAGCAGAAGAAAGCUGUUUGUGGUGCAUAAACAGCACCACAUGGUGACAGAAUGGCACCACUGCUUCUGUCAGACUGACCCAUGGCUACGAUGUAGUUUACCUCCGUUAUUGUGUGAAUGUGUGCGAAUAAAUGGAUGAAUGACUGACGGUAGUGUAAAGCCCCAUCCUCAACUUGCUAAUGGUGGAGAAAAAACUUAAAGUUCCAGAAAAACUACUUAUUCUCUGUCAUUGGUGUCAAUGCUAGUUAGCCUUAGGAUUUAUAGCAGGCUUUGCUGUCGUGUACUACCUGUAGCGUAGCAGAGAGUAAGGAAACAGUUGUGAGAAGCCCAUAUAGAAGCGUGAUUGACAGCGCUAAAACCCGCCUCCUUCCUCUGAUUGGUUGUGUCAGACCGGGAGCCGUGUGUUCCUGCAGAUGGCUGUAGGACAGCAGGGAAAAUGCAGAGGAGCUAGAUUUUUCACACAGAUUAUCUGUUUCAUAUACAAUACAAACAUGUAAAAAGAAAACAACAUAUUUUUAUAAAAGUUACACCAUCGCUGCUUUUAUUUCCUCUGGUUUCAAUUGUGCCCUUUAACUUUUACAUGUUCUUUUUCCAGACAACAAACAAACAAACAAACAAACAAACAAACACAUCUACAAUGACUCACCAAACUGGAACAAACUGGAAACACAUCAAUAACUUUUUUGUUAUUUAAAUUUUUAUUAUUAUUAAUUCACAAGACUUGGACUUUUUAAAUAAAUUUAAAAAACUGUAUAGACUAGUUACUAAGUAAAUUUUUGAAUUAUAAAAGUUGUAACUGUAACUUUAUGGAUACUCUUUUCCUUCAUGUGUUGUGUUCAUUAUUGAUUACUGUAAAGAGGUUUAUAGUUAAAGUCUAUGAAAGGUUUUACUGACCAAAACUCCAGAAUUAGAGGCCAUCAUACUGUGAUUCUUUUUGACACAUGACAUCUGCAAAGUAGUUUAUUGCUGUCAGACAAAAGCCAGAUUUUAGUGUUAGAUUUUUUUCAGUUCUUUGUUCAGUAUAAAACAAGCACUACUUUCAGAAAUAUCUCCUCAUCAAAAAUCCUCAAGGGUUUAUUAGUCAAUGAAGCCCAAAGGGAAAGCUGAAUUAAGAGCUAAUUAACAUGCUUUACUUCCUGAUAGGUACAGCAACACAACAGUCAGGAUAUGACAGUGUGCAUGCAUCCCAUGUUCACUAGAGAAAGAAGUUCAAAUUUACACUCUUGUUCAGUCACUCCAUGACAUUUUUUUGCCUGAAGCCCUUUCUGUUUUCUCCUGCUGCAGUGCUCCAGGUAGUUGUCUUGUUAAAAUGUAAGCCUUUAUCAUUCAGUCUGAGAUCCAGUUUCUAUCGCUUUCUCUGUAAUUUUCUGUGCGCUCUUUUUCUUUACAGAUCACAGCCCAGAAAACUUACUCUAUUGUAUCUGCUAUAUGUUCACUUUUAUUUUUCACAUGUUUGUCAUAUUUUACAGCGCACCUGCGCUUGUAACCGGGUAUUCACGCUGCACGAAAAGGCACAUCACCUUACUUUAACUCUGAAAAUGAAUCAGAGAUAGUACAUCUUUCUGUUUUCUGAUACAUUUUCUUUCAAUUCAGAGAUUUACAAACAUUUUCUUAGUAUUUUAAAUUUUUUUCUAAUUGCAUUUAAACUUUAUGACUUUAUUUAAAUAUUUUGAAUAUCUUCCCACAAGUUUUUCUAAAUAGUUUUCUGGAAUUCUGGCUCAUCCUGAUGAAGUUUUGGGAACUGGUGGUGGAAUCCUUAGUAAAUGAUGAUUUGGAAAACAGAUUUUUCCCUAAUCUUUUUUUUUUUUUUUCAUUCUCCUAAGAUGUUGUUCAGUAUUUCUACAUUCAGCAAUGCUUGUUGCUCCUAAUGAAUUGAUUUUAUGAAGUGAAUCAGUCUGUUCUGCUGCUGUAUGUACAGCUGACAUGGUGCUUUGAGGCUUGACAUUUUCUACCUGGUCGGUCCAAACGUACCAGUUGUCGUACUGAACAAACCUGCAUCUCUAGAAAACUCAGCUCUUUGUCCCUGAGUGCUAUUGUAAGUUGAAAUUGAAAUCGUUUGGAGUAAUAAAGCAUCUUUUUAUCUA
This is an RNA transcript of Poecilia latipinna (sailfin molly), 3235 nucleotides long. It is a transcript of the gene named leucine-rich repeat-containing protein 51-like, with no coding region annotated. Lineage: Eukaryota; Metazoa; Chordata; Actinopteri; Cyprinodontiformes; Poeciliidae. The transcript is spliced from 6 exons. The record is from RefSeq and is a predicted model, not a curated record.